Molecule: ribosomal RNA, 500 nt
Filed under: uncultured cyanobacterium
Lineage: Bacteria; Bacillati; Cyanobacteriota
Description: bacterial SSU rRNA
Rfam family: Bacterial small subunit ribosomal RNA
Source: RNAcentral
GGUGAAUUUUCCGCAAUGGGCGCAAGCCUGACGGAGCAAUACCGCGUGAGGGAGGAAGGCUCUUGGGUCGUAAACCUCUUUUCUCAGGGAAGAACAAAAUGACGGUACCUGAGGAAUCAGCAUCGGCUAACUCCGUGCCAGCAGCCGCGGUAAUACGGAGGAUGCAAGCGUUAUCCGGAAUGAUUGGGCGUAAAGCGUCCGUAGGUGGUUAUGUAAGUCUGUGGUUAAAGCGUGGGGCUCAACCCCAUAAAGGCCAUGGAAACUACAAGACUUGAGUGAAGUAGGGGUAGAGGGAAUUCCCAGUGUAGCGGUGAAAUGCGUAGAGAUUGGGAAGAACACCGGUGGCGAAAGCGCUCUACUGGACUUAAACUGACACUGAGGGACGAAAGCUAGGGGAGCGAAAGGGAUUAGAUACCCCUGUAGUCCUAGCCGUAAACGAUGGAUACUAGGUGUUGCCCGUAUCGACCCGGGCAGUGCCGUAGCUAACGCGUUAAGUAUCC